GUAAAUGUUUUCUAGGGUUCCGUAACAAAGUAUGUUAGCCUGGACCAAGAGGAAACUCGCAGCUCUGCUGUGUCACGGAAGGAUAAAAGCCUGGGAGAU
RNAcentral lists this small RNA (99 nucleotides) under Bacillus sp. (in: firmicutes). RNAcentral describes it as "Bacillus sp. Guanidine-I sequence". It matches the Rfam family "Guanidine-I riboswitch aptamer". From Rfam's summary of the family: This family represents a conserved RNA structure found upstream of the ykkC and yxkD genes in Bacillus subtilis and related genes in other bacteria. The record is from RNAcentral. Lineage: Bacteria; Bacillati; Bacillota; Bacilli; Caryophanales; Bacillaceae.